This 463-nucleotide ribosomal RNA is filed under the name uncultured bacterium. Its description in RNAcentral is "partial 16S ribosomal RNA". It matches the Rfam family "Bacterial small subunit ribosomal RNA", at positions 28 to 507 of the family's 1533-position model. The record is from RNAcentral.
GACGAACGCUGGCGGCGUGCUUAACACAUGCAAGUCGAACGGAAAGGCCUUUUCGGAGGUACUCGAGUGGCGAACGGGUGAGUAACACGUGGGUGAUCUGCCCUGCACUCUGGGAUAAGCCUGGGAAACUGGGUCUAAUACCGGAUAGGACCGCACUUUAGUGUGUGUGGUGGAAAGUUUUUUCGGUGUAGGAUGAGCCCGCGGCCUAUCAGCUUGUUGGUGGGGUAAUGGCCUACCAAGGCGGCGACGGGUAGCCGGACUGAGAGGUUGGUCGGCCACAUUGGGACUGAGAUACGGCCCAGACUCCUACGGGAGGCAGCAGUGGGGAAUAGUGCACAAUGGGCGCAAGCCUGAUGCAGCGACGCCGCGUGGGGGAUGACGGCCUUCGGGUUGGAAACUCCUUUCGCCAGGGACGAAGCGUUUUGUGACGGUACCUGGAGAAGAAGCACCGGCUAACUACGUG